This 233-nucleotide ribosomal RNA is filed under the name uncultured bacterium. Its description in RNAcentral is "partial 16S ribosomal RNA". The record is from RNAcentral.
UAAUCCGACCUAGGCUCAUCUCGGAGUGUGAGGCCUUACGGUCCCCCACUUUGGUCUUUCGACAUCAUGCGGUAUUAAUCCGGGUUUCCCCUGGCUAUCCCCCGCUCUGAGGCAGAUUCCUAUGUAUUGCUCACCCGUCCGCCGCUCGCCGGCACCCUUGCGGGCCCGCUGCCGCUCGACUUGCAUGUGUUAAGCACGCCGCCAGCGUUCAAUCUGAGCCAGGAUCAAACUCU